Molecule: ribosomal RNA, 837 nt
Filed under: Rhodotorula diobovata
Lineage: Eukaryota; Fungi; Basidiomycota; Microbotryomycetes; Sporidiobolales; Sporidiobolaceae
Description: partial large subunit ribosomal RNA
Rfam family: Eukaryotic large subunit ribosomal RNA
Source: RNAcentral
AAGAGCUCAAAUUUAUAAUCUGGCACCUUCGGGGUCCGAGUUGUAAUCUCUAGAAGUGUUUUCCGCGUUGGACCGCACACAAGUCUGUUGGAAUACAGCGGCAUAGUGGUGAAACCCCCGUAUAUGGUGCGGACGCCCAGCGCUUUGUGAUACACUUUCAAUGAGUCGAGUUGUUUGGGAAUGCAGCUCAAAUUGGGUGGUAAAUUCCAUCUAAAGCUAAAUAUUGGCGAGAGACCGAUAGCGAACAAGUACCGUGAGGGAAAGAUGAAAAGCACUUUGGAAAGAGAGUUAACAGUACGUGAAAUUGUUGGAAGGGAAACGCUUGAAGUCAGACUUGCUUGCCGGAGCUUGCUUCGGUUUGCAGGCCAGCAUCAGUUUUCCGGGGUGGAUAAUGACGGUUUGAAGGUAGCAGUCUCGGCUGUGUUAUAGCUUUCCGUUGGAUACGCCCUGGGGGACUGAGGAACGCAGCGUGCUUUUUGCGAAAGACUCGUCUUUUUCACGCUUAGGAUGCUGGUGGAAUGGCUUUAAACGACCCGUCUUGAAACACGGACCAAGGAGUCUAACAUGCUCGCGAGUAUUUGGGUGUCAAACCCGGAUGCGCAAUGAAAGUGAAUGUAGGUGGGAACCGCAAGGUGCACCAUCGACCGAUCUGGAUUUUUUAAGAUGGAUUUGAGUAAGAGCGCGUAUGUAGGGACCCGAAAGAUGGUGAACUAUGCCUGAAUAGGGCGAAGCCAGAGGAAACUCUGGUGGAGGCUCGUAGCGGUUCUGACGUGCAAAUCGAUCGUCAAAUUUGGGUAUAGGGGCGAAAGACUAAUCGAACCAUCUAGUAGCUGUCUG